Molecule: ribosomal RNA, 745 nt
Filed under: uncultured bacterium
Lineage: Bacteria
Description: bacterial SSU rRNA
Rfam family: Bacterial small subunit ribosomal RNA
Source: RNAcentral
ACGCUGGCGGCAGGCCUAACACAUGCAAGUCGAGCGGUAGAGAGAAGCUUGCUUCUCUUGAGAGCGGCGGACGGGUGAGUAAUGCCUAGGAAUCUGCCUGGUAGUGGGGGAUAACGUUCGGAAACGGACGCUAAUACCGCAUACGUCCUACGGGAGAAAGCAGGGGACCUUCGGGCCUUGCGCUAUCAGAUGAGCCUAGGUCGGAUUAGCUAGUUGGUGAGGUAAUGGCUCACCAAGGCGACGAUCCGUAACUGGUCUGAGAGGAUGAUCAGUCACACUGGAACUGAGACACGGUCCAGACUCCUACGGGAGGCAGCAGUGGGGAAUAUUGGACAAUGGGCGAAAGCCUGAUCCAGCCAUGCCGCGUGUGUGAAGAAGGUCUUCGGAUUGUAAAGCACUUUAAAUUGGGAGGAAGGGUUGUAGAUUAAUACUCUGCAAUUUUGACGUUACCGACAGAAUAAGCACCGGCUAACUCUGUGCCAGCAGCCGCGGUAAUACAGAGGGUGCAAGCGUUAAUCGGAAUUACUGGGCGUAAAGCGCGCGUAGGUGGUUUGUUAAGUUGGAUGUGAAAUCCCCGGGCUCAACCUGGGAACUGCAUUCAAAACUGACUGACUAGAGUAUGGUAGAGGGUGGUGGAAUUUCCUGUGUAGCGGUGAAAUGCGUAGAUAUAGGAAGGAACACCAGUGGCGAAGGCGACCACCUGGACUAAUACUGACACUGAGGUGCGAAAGCGUGGGGAGCAAAC